AUUGGGCGUAAAGCGUCCGCAGGCGGCCCUUCAAGUCUGCUGUUAAAAAGUGGAGCUUAACUCCAUCAUGGCAGUGGAAACUGUUGGGCUUGAGUGUGGUAGGGGCAGAGGGAAUUCCCGGUGUAGCGGUGAAAUGCGUAGAUAUCGGGAAGAACACCAGUGGCGAAGGCGCUCUGCUGGGCCAUCACUGACGCUCAUGGACGAAAGCCAGGGGAGCGAAAGGGAUUAGAUACCCCUGUAGUCCUGGCCGUAAACGAUGAACACUAGGUGUCGGGGGAAUCGACCCCCUCGGUGUCGUAGCCAACGCGUUAAGUGUUCCGCCUGGGGAGUACGCACGCAAGUGUGAAACUCAAAGGAAUUGACGGGGGCCCGCACAAGCGGUGGAGUAUGUGGUUUAAUUCGAUGCAACGCGAAGAACCUUACCAGGGUUUGACAUCCUGCGAAUCUCUUGGAAACAGGAGAGUGCCUUCGGGAACGCAGUGACAGGUGGUGCAUGGCUGUCGUCAGCUCGUGUCGUGAGAUGUUGGGUUAAGUCCCGCAACGAGCGCAACCCACGUCUUUAGUUGCCAGCAUUUAGUUGGGCACUCUAGAGAGACUGCCGGUGAUAAACCGGAGGAAGGUGUGGAUGACGUCAAGUCAUCAUGCCCCUUACAUCCUGGGCUACACACGUACUACAAUGCUACGGACAAAGGGCUGCAAGUUCGCGAGGACAAGCAAAUCCCAUAAACCGUGGCUCAGUUCAGAUCGUAGGCUGCAACUCGCCUACGUGAAGGCGGAAUCGCUAGUAAUCGCAGGUCAGCAUACUGCGGUGAAUACGUUCCCGGGCCUUGUACACACCGCCCGUCACACCAUGGAAGUUGGCCACGCCCGAAGCCGUUACUCCAACCCUUGUGGAGGAGGACGUCGAAGGUGGGGCUGAUGACUGGGGUGAAGUCGUAACAAGGUAUCCGUACCGGAAGGUGCGGAUGGAUCACCUCCUAA
Molecule: ribosomal RNA, 981 nt
Filed under: Synechococcus sp. AH-736-M20
Lineage: Bacteria; Bacillati; Cyanobacteriota; Cyanophyceae; Synechococcales; Synechococcaceae
Description: bacterial SSU rRNA
Rfam family: Bacterial small subunit ribosomal RNA
Source: RNAcentral